This 481-nucleotide ribosomal RNA is filed under the name uncultured bacterium. RNAcentral describes it as "bacterial SSU rRNA". It matches the Rfam family "Bacterial small subunit ribosomal RNA", at positions 32 to 524 of the family's 1533-position model. The record is from RNAcentral.
CAACGCUGGCGGCGUGCCUCAGACAUGCAAGUCGAACGAUUAAAGCUUUCUUCGGAAAGUGUAUAAAGUGGCGUACGGGAGAGUAACACGUAAGUAAUCUACCCUUGGGUGGGGAAUAACUUAGGGAAACUUAAGCUAAUACCGCAUAAUGCAGCGGCUCCGUUUGGAGACAGUUGUUAAAGCAUUUAUGCGCCUAAGGAGGAGCUUGCGGCAGAUUAGCUAGUUGGUAAGGUAAUGGCUUACCAAGGCGACGAUCUGUAGCCGGUCUAAGAGGACGGUCGGUCUCACUGACACUGAAUAACGGGUCAGACUCCUACGGGAGGCAGCAGUCGGGAAUUUUGUGCAAUGGGGGAAACCCUGACACAGCAACGCCGCGUGAAGGAUGAAGUCCCUCGGGAUGUAAACUUCGAAAGUAUAGGAAGAAUAAAUGACGGUACUAUACAUAAGCUCCGGCUAACUACGUGCCAGCAGCCGCGGUAAU